This 2114-nucleotide long non-coding RNA is filed under the name Solanum lycopersicum (tomato). Its description in RNAcentral is "partial TCONS_00000574". The record is from RNAcentral. Lineage: Eukaryota; Viridiplantae; Streptophyta; Magnoliopsida; Solanales; Solanaceae.
CCCCAGAAAAUGCAGAAAAAAGGCAAACACUCCAAAAAUGGAAAUUGCCCCAGAAACCCACGCUCUCUACCCCUCGUGUCCCUCCCCGCGCUCUCUCCCUCUCUCUCGUCCUCUCUCGUCUCCCCACGUUCUCUCUCCUCAUCUCUCUAGCGCGUGGAGGAGCGAUGCAGUGCAACGGAAACCUGCAGUUCUGCUCCUCCGUACGCAGCCUCCCAGUGAGCACAAGGCGACAAGAGUUUCGUCCUUCCAACGCAAGAUGGCUCCACGUAGCUUGUCCAGUACGAGAAAUUGAUAUCGACCCUCCACCUGUUUCCCGCUCGAUUUGCUCUUUUGGAUGAGGUUUGAAGGUUUUUCGGAUUUGAAUUGGAAAUGGGCCUGAGGAGCGUCCAGCCCUCUUCAUCCGUAAAACCCUAAAUUUCUCCCUAUAUAAACCCCCCACCAACCUUAGGUUGAGGUUGGCUAUUUUUAUUGGAAAUUCUUGGUUGAAUAUUCUUUUGCCUCUUCUAUUUACUUAACGAAAAUUUCUCUUUGACUUUCCUAGUUCUGUUUUUUAGAAGAGUUCAAAUUUCAGAGGUUUGAAAUUCUGAGGGGUUAGACCUUUUGGAUGAACAGGGGGAAUUAGAAACCUUGUUUAGAUUUUCUUAUCACAGAGGUGUCUACAGAGGGAGAUCUGUCUCGUGUUCUUAGAAAAGAGAUGAGGAAGUUUUCUAAGCUAGCUUGCGUUGGACUGGUGUUCGUGCUCACACGGUGGUAGUCGUCCCCAUCCCCUGCUCAUUCUCGUCCCAGCUUUGCUACGCUUAGAAAGGUUAUUCAGUCAUAUAUUCGAUGGGCAAAUCCAAAGUUUUAUGAAGAUCGAAGGAUUCCAAGAGGGGAUUAAAAGACUUCCUUAUUUUAUGCAUUUUUUUAUUUUAGUUUUGUAAUGGGCCUAAGCCCUUGUUGUAUUAUUUUCCUUCUCUUGUAUUUUCAUUUUGUAUGUUUAGACUAGGACAGGUACGAAAGAGGAAUGGGUCAAAAACCCAAAAGAAAACAGGUGGGUCCAAAACUCGAUCAUGGCGAACAGAACCCGAGUUUGGAUCCACAAUCCCCCCCUCUCUCUCUCUCUCUCUCCUUUUAUUAUUCGUUUAUAUGUUCGCUUGAAUGUCGUUAGUUAGGGUUAGAAGAAUUCAAACCCCAUCGAACGCGUUUCAUUUUAUCAAACUUAAAAAUUUAAAGCUAAGUCCUAAAAAUGAUAAUUUGUUUCAAAUUUGCAGAGAUUGUUUAGAUAAAACCAUAAGAAAGUUUAACUCAGAAAUAGACUCGCAAAAGUUGCAAGAUAAAUAUUUCGAAACUUGUAAAUUUGUCUUAAAUAUUUCAACUUGUAAAUUUAUCUAAAUGAAACUUUAAUAAGUUCAACUUAAAGAUUCGCAAAAUUUUAAAACAAAAUUAGUCAAAUAAGUUAAUCGCUGGAAAACCGUAAGUUAGCGGAGUGUCUUAGGUGCCUUACACCUUCCUAAGACACUAAAUAGGAAUCCCGAACCCUUAAAAUGUUUUCAAAAUAAUUUUUUCUGUUUAAGUUAUUUUGGAAAUAAGUUUUCUUGAUUUUUCUUAAAAAAUCAAGUGGCGACUCCUAAAAGUCGAAAAUAUCUUCAAAAAUAAAACAAACUCUUUUCGAAAUCAAUUUUUUCGAUAAAGCAUCUACAAUCUUAUUACACAUUGUGCGUGCAGAUACGCUCUAUACGACUUCUGUCUAAGAUGAGCUAGUGUGCGCUUGCACUCGUGGUUUAGGAUUUGUCACACAUGUUAGACCGGUUUUGACCAUAAGUUUAAUCGAAAUUCCUCUACUACUAGUCCGCUAAGCCUCCCCGACUCGAGUUGUCUACUCGAGUAAAGAUAUUCUACACAUCUUCCAUAUAAAGUAUUAUAUCUAGCGAAACAAUCCACAAACUAUCCCUGAUGGCUGAUAGGGUACGUUUAAUUAUUUGCAUCAUGUGCAUUUAACCUAGAAAAUCUAAUAUAGGUGCUACGUGAAAAUUAUUUUAUUAAGAAGGCCUUUACUUGUUGACCUACAUUAUAAUAAAUUUGCCUUUCAAUUUUAUUUCCAUAAAAACAAGGAACAAAAGGUUGAAAUAAAAGGG